CGGCAUCGUUCGACUUUUAAACAUUUAUGGGUUACAGAUGGGCAUGCGUUUCAUUAGGUAGUUGGUGAGGUAACGGCUCACCAAGCCGACGAUGAAUAGGGGUUCUGAGAGGAAGGUCCCCCACACUGGUACUGAGACACGGACCAGACUCCUACGGGAGGCAGCAGUGAGGAAUAUUGGUCAAUGGACGCAAGUCUGAACCAGUCGCGUGAAGGAUGAAGGUAUUAUGUAUUGUAAACUUCUUUUAUAUAAUGACCGUUACGAGUAACGGGAGCGAAUGUACCUGAUGAAUAAGCAUCGGCUAACUCCGUGCCAGCAGCCCGCGGUGAUACGGAGGAUGCGAGCGUUAUCCGGAUUUAUUGGGUUUAAAGGGUGCGUAGGCGGUUUGUUAAGUCAGUGGUGAAAGUUUGCGGCUCAACCCGUAAAAUUGCCAUUGAGAACUUUGAGUACAGUA
RNAcentral lists this ribosomal RNA (454 nucleotides) under uncultured bacterium. RNAcentral describes it as "bacterial SSU rRNA". It matches the Rfam family "Bacterial small subunit ribosomal RNA", at positions 186 to 653 of the family's 1533-position model. The record is from RNAcentral.